RNAcentral lists this transfer RNA (72 nucleotides) under Marmota marmota marmota (Alpine marmot). It matches the Rfam family "tRNA". From Rfam's summary of the family: Transfer RNA (tRNA) molecules are approximately 80 nucleotides in length. Their secondary structure includes four short double-helical elements and three loops (D, anti-codon, and T loops). Further hydrogen bonds mediate the characteristic L-shaped molecular structure. tRNAs have two regions of fundamental functional importance: the anti-codon, which is responsible for specific mRNA codon recognition, and the 3' end, to which the tRNAs corresponding amino acid is attached (by aminoacyl-tRNA synthetases). tRNAs cope with the degeneracy of the genetic code in two manners: having more than one tRNA (with a specific anti-codon) for a particular amino acid; and 'wobble' base-pairing, i.e. permitting non-standard base-pairing at the 3rd anti-codon position. Lineage: Eukaryota; Metazoa; Chordata; Mammalia; Rodentia; Sciuridae. RNAcentral also lists the same sequence under 1 other name. The record is from Rfam by way of RNAcentral.
UGGGGUGUAGCUCAGUGGUGAAGUACAUGCCUAGCAUGCAUGAGGCCUUGGGUUUGAUCUCCAGAAUCUCAA